RNAcentral lists this ribosomal RNA (253 nucleotides) under uncultured bacterium. Its description in RNAcentral is "partial 16S ribosomal RNA". It matches the Rfam family "Bacterial small subunit ribosomal RNA", at positions 524 to 776 of the family's 1533-position model. The record is from RNAcentral.
UACGGGGGGGGCAAGCGUUGUUCGGAAUUACUGGGCGUAAAGGGUUCGUAGGUGGCUUGCUAAGUCAGACGUGAAAUCCCUCAGCUUAACUGGGGAACUGCGUCUGAUACUGGCGAGCUUGAGUGCAGGAGAGGAACGCAGAAUUCCAGGUGUGGCGGUGAAAUGCGUAGAUAUCUGGAGGAAUACCGGUGGCGAAGGCGGCGUUCUGGACUGCAACUGACACUGAUGAACGAAAGCCAGGGGAGCAAACGGG